Molecule: ribosomal RNA, 867 nt
Filed under: uncultured bacterium
Lineage: Bacteria
Description: bacterial SSU rRNA
Rfam family: Bacterial small subunit ribosomal RNA
Source: RNAcentral
UGCAGUCGAACGAGAAAGUUACCUUCGGGUUGACGAGUACAGUGGCGAACGGGUGAGUAACACGUGGGCAACCUGCCCCUAGGUUGGGGAUAACACUUCCAACGAGGUGCUAAUACCGAAUGAUAAGGCGAGUUGAUGACUCGUUUUUAAAGGUGGCCUCUGCUUGUAAGCUGCCGCCUAGGGAUGGGCCCGCGUCGUAUUAGCUUGUUGGUAGGGUAAUGGCCUACCAAGGCGACGAUGCGUAGCCGGCCUGAGAGGGUGAACGGCCACACUGGCACUGAGAUAAGGGCCAGUCUCCUACGGGAGCCAGCAGUCUAGAAAUUUGCACAAUCGCCGAAAGGCGGAUGCAGCGACACCACGUGGAGGAUGAAGCCCCUCGGGGUGUAAACUCCUGUCAGGAGGGAAGAAGGCGCGGGCGUUAAUACCGCUCGUUGCUUGACGGUACCUUCAGAGGAAGCUCCGGCUAACUACGUGCCAGCAGCCGCGGUAAUACGUAGGGAGCGAGCGUUGUUCGGAUUUACUGGGCGUAAAGGGCAUGUAGGCGGGUAUGCAAGUCGGUUGUGAAAUCCUCUGGCUCAACCAGAGAACUGCAGCCGAAACUGCACACCUUGAGUCCAGCAGAGGGAAUCGGAAUCCCAGGUGUAGCGGUGAAAUGCGUAGAUAUCUGGGAGAACAUCAGUGGCGAAGGCGGAUUCCUGGGCUGGUACUGACGCUGAGGUGCGAAAGCUAAGGGAGCGAACAGGAUUAGAUACCCUGGUAGUCUUAGCCGUAAACGAUGGGUACUAGGUGUUGGGGGACAUUGACCCCCUCAGUGCCGUAGCUAACGCAUUAAGUACCCCGCCUGGGGAGUACGGCCGCAAGGCUGAA